RNAcentral lists this ribosomal RNA (1255 nucleotides) under Escherichia coli. RNAcentral's name for it is "partial 23S ribosomal RNA". It matches the Rfam family "Bacterial large subunit ribosomal RNA", at positions 1 to 1288 of the family's 2925-position model. The record is from RNAcentral. Lineage: Bacteria; Pseudomonadati; Pseudomonadota; Gammaproteobacteria; Enterobacterales; Enterobacteriaceae.
GGGUUGUGAGGUUAAGCGACUAAGCGUACACGGUGGAUGCCCUGGCAGUCAGAGGCGAUGAAGGACGUGCUAAUCUGCGAUAAGCGUCGGUGAGGUGAUAUGAACCGUUAUAACCGGCGAUUUCCGAAUGGGGAAACCCAGUGUGUUUCGACACACUAUCAUUAACUGAAUCCAUAGGUUAAUGAGGCGAACCGGGGGAACUGAAACAUCUAAGUACCCCGAGGAAAAGAAAUCAACCGAGAUUCCCCCAGUAGCGGCGAGCGAACGGGGAGGAGCCCAGAGCCUGAAUCAGUGUGUGUGUUAGUGGAAGCGUCUGGAAAGGCGCGCGAUACAGGGUGACAGCCCCGUACACAAAAAUGCACAUAUUGUGAGCUCGAUGAGUAGGGCGGGACACGUGGUAUCCUGUCUGAAUAUGGGGGGACCAUCCUCCAAGGCUAAAUACUCCUGACUGACCGAUAGUGAACCAGUACCGUGAGGGAAAGGCGAAAAGAACCCCGGCGAGGGGAGUGAAAAAGAACCUGAAACCGUGUACGUACAAGCAGUGGGAGCCUCUUAAUGGGGUGACUGCGUACCUUUUGUAUAAUGGGUCAGCGACUUAUAUUCUGUAGCAAGGUUAACCGAAUAGGGGAGCCGAAGGGAAACCGAGUCUUAACUGGGCGUUAAGUUGCAGGGUAUAGACCCGAAACCCGGUGAUCUAGCCAUGGGCAGGUUGAAGGUUGGGUAACACUAACUGGAGGACCGAACCGACUAAUGUUGAAAAAUUAGCGGAUGACUUGUGGCUGGGGGUGAAAGGCCAAUCAAACCGGGAGAUAGCUGGUUCUCCCCGAAAGCUAUUUAGGUAGCGCCUCGUGAAUUCAUCUCCGGGGGUAGAGCACUGUUUCGGCAAGGGGGUCAUCCCGACUUACCAACCCGAUGCAAACUGCGAAUACCGGAGAAUGUUAUCACGGGAGACACACGGCGGGUGCUAACGUCCGUCGUGAAGAGGGAAACAACCCAGACCGCCAGCUAAGGUCCCAAAGUCAUGGUUAAGUGGGAAACGAUGUGGGAAGGCCCAGACAGCCAGGAUGUUGGCUUAGAAGCAGCCAUCAUUUAAAGAAAGCGUAAUAGCUCACUGGUCGAGUCGGCCUGCGCGGAAGAUGUAACGGGGCUAAACCAUGCACCGAAGCUGCGGCAGCGACACUAUGUGUUGUUGGGUAGGGGAGCGUUCUGUAAGCCUGUGAAGGUGGCCUGUGAGGGUUGCUGGAGGUAUCAGAAG